UGGUAAAAACAGAGUUAAAGGGGAUGGAUGUGGAAACUGGGGAGUCUGAAGUUGACGACUCCUAGACGGGGAGGUGAAUGAAAGGCUCUCAGUGAAGAAGACAGUAACUGGGGACAGAGAAGAGCUAUUCUCAAAAGGCUCAUGGAGAAGGCACGUCCAAGGGUGGAAGGAGGACUUCGUGAACAAGAGUUGCAGAGAGUAUUUGAGGAAGGACGAUUGGCAGUUUUUUAUUAUCAUAUAAAGGUCCAGAACCCUUCAGAUCAACUUACCAAUAAGUUCAGUAUGUAAAACAGAUAAAUGUGGUUGAAAUGGGGAAGGAUGAGAGUUAUUCCAAUCUGUCAGCACCCUCUACCCCCAUUCCCACCCUCCCCACAGGGGAGGCUCCAGGGAGUACUUUGAAAACCAUUGGAAAAAUUCAUCCCCUCUUAAAUGACUUGAAAUGCCACGUGUGUAAUAUGCUACAUUAAAAGUUUUACCUAUUCCAAUUAUUUUUCUGCCAAUCCCAUACGUGAAUAAAUUUAUGGAGCCUAAGAGCUUUAUAAUAUAACAAAAGAAGAAAUUGAAGUAUCAAAUAAAUAAGUAAAAUAACAUGGGGUUUUGGGGGGGCCUGUAAAAUUAGUAUAUUUCUUUAAUAUAGUGUCUAUUGGCAAGAGUUGACUAAAUACCUUCAAUAUAAAGAAGAUUAACUUGGUGAAACAAUAUAUUGGUCAAUAAUUUGAUAACGUGUGUCACAAGUUUACAAUGUUGAUAUUCUUUGAUCCACCAAAUCACUUAUAGGAUUUGAGCCUAAAGAAAUAACUGGAAAUGUAUGGAAAAUUCUUGCUGUUGUUUAUAUUAUUGAUAGUACUGAAAAUGAUCCAGGCCGGCCCGUGGCUUAGCGGUUAAGUGCGCUCGCUCAGCUGCUGGCGGCCCAGGUUCGGAUCCUGGGCGGGCGCCGACGCACCGCUUCUCUGGCCAUGCUGAGGCCGCGUCCCACAUACAGCGGCUGGAAGGAUGUGCAACUAUGACAUACAGCUGUCUACUGGGGCUUUGGGGAAGAAAAAAAGGAGG
Molecule: long non-coding RNA, 1050 nt
Organism: Diceros bicornis minor
Lineage: Eukaryota; Metazoa; Chordata; Mammalia; Perissodactyla; Rhinocerotidae
Exons: 3
Source: RefSeq, a predicted model, not a curated record